CUGAAACAUAGCACAGGGUAAGCCACGGCCUGCCCAUGAGGCAGUGAGCCUACUUCACCCGGAGACCCCUGCCCUCAGCCUUCCUCUCCCCUCUACUGCUCAGGGGCUAUCCAGGUGGUGGUGGCUUCUCGGAGUCUCUGCUGGGGCAUGAACGUGGCUGCCCACCUGGUAAUCAUCAUGGAUACCCAGUACUACAAUGGCAAGAUCCACGCCUAUGUGGAUUACCCCAUCUAUGACGUGCUUCAGAUGGUGGGCCACGCCAACCGCCCUUUGCAGGACGAUGAGGGGCGCUGUGUCAUCAUGUGUCAGGGCUCCAAGAAGGUCAGUCCUAGACUCAUGGAGCCUCUUGGAUCCGUAGCCUCAGAAUGGAUUCUUUAAUCUUUCUUUUGAUAGAUGUCUUCAGUAACUUUAGUCUCUUAACUUCUGCCUCUCUUAUUUACACAAUUCUUUUGUGACGAGCCUGCCACCCACAUGGAAUUUUGCUGCCUUUUGCUUUUGCUGCUGCCGUUGGCUCCACGUGUUGAGGUCUUCACCCUCUACUUGGUUCUCUCCUUCCUCCUUGGGCUGCUCACUGCUCUGCCCUCG
RNAcentral lists this long non-coding RNA (585 nucleotides) under Homo sapiens (human). Its description in RNAcentral is "non-protein coding lnc-TMEM127-2:1". The record is from RNAcentral. Lineage: Eukaryota; Metazoa; Chordata; Mammalia; Primates; Hominidae.